Molecule: long non-coding RNA, 2648 nt
Organism: Triticum urartu
Lineage: Eukaryota; Viridiplantae; Streptophyta; Magnoliopsida; Poales; Poaceae
Source: RefSeq, a predicted model, not a curated record
GGGCAGCCUCUCCUGCCGCGCCGCAUGCGCGCGCUCGCGUCGUGGAGACGUGCGGGCCUGUGGUUGGGCGUGGGCGUGAACCGUAGCCCCCCAGUGCCCAGCCGCCACACCCCUGACCCCUCCCUCCUCACUCCCUCGCCACACUGUCGCACCAUCUCCCUCCUCCCUCCUCCCUCGUCACCAGCCGCCGCAACAGGGGAUUUGCGGCCCCUCCAUCACCAGCCGCAGCACCAGGAGAUUUGCCGCCGCCGAGAUCCAGCGCCUUGCAAGGUCCUCGGGUCAGCCUUGUCGCGCCCGCCACUCUGUCGACCAGAUCUGUGCCCUUGACUCCCUCUUCUCUCGCGUCGCGCGGUGCCUGCUGCUCCACCAUGUCGAGCAGCGCGAGCAUCAAGCAAUGGCUGAUGCCAAGGCAUGUCAAGAUCAAGGAUAUUUAAACUUGUUUCUUUGAUUGAUGAAAGAUUUCAGAUCCUUCUGUAGAUGAAUUUCUGGUCUAAGAUACAUGGUGUUAAUUGUCCCAAAGAUGGAACGAUUUGUUCCACGGAAUUUAUCUCCUUAGUUGCAUUCCAUUUACAGUUCAUGUUCAUGGCCUUGCUGUGGUUGCACGGUGGUUCGUGGGGAACAGGAGCAAAUACCUUUGCUACAACCAAGGUCUUGACAAACCAGUCAGGGAGAGAUAGGUUCGGUGAGUCAUUUUACCCUUUGUUUACCCCUUUCAGAUUAGCAGAGAAGAAGGAUCUUUUUUUAUUCCCUUUUGAUUUCCUCUCUUGUUUGACUGGAACCUUUUUUCAUAGUUUUGCAGGGGUUGUUAUGUUCUGUCCCCUGUGGUAAGUUUGCUAGGCAGCGGCUUACUCCUCUCUUGUUUUUUUAGUUUUGACCACGAUAUCGAAAUUACAUCUGGUCGAUGGUGUCAAGUUUAGGCAGGUACCAUCAGCAUUUUGUGAAGAUUGCCAUCGUCUAAAUUUUAUUGCAGCAUGAUGCAUAUGUAAUAAGGAAUUUGGUGUUUGAGAAGCAUCACCGGAAGUUGGUAUGCUAAUAUCUCAAUUGGCAAGAUAAAAGGACCACUACUUCUUACCUUCCAGUCAUUUUAAUAUGAUAGGAAUGCAAGUAUGUACUAAGUAGAAAAGAUGGUUGAAUUUGGUGCCCUGCAUUUACACGACUAGGUGUUAUUCAGUUUUUUUUCCUUUGACGGCUCUGAGUACAAAUUGGAGCUUGUUGGGUACAAAAUGUUGCCAAGAUUAGUUCAGGAUCAGAAUUGUUGUCAUGUUGUCCAGAUAUUGCUCUAAGAGUUUCCUAGAAUUAGUUUAGGAUCAGAGUUAUUGUCAUGUUGUCUAGAUAUUGCUCUGAAGAUUCCAAACGUACUUUUCUGGUUGCUUGGUUAUAAUUUUUGCCCCCCAAAGGGAAGCUCUGGCCAGUUUCUUGCUAGAAUAUUAUCAUAAGGCUUGAUUAAUUUAGAACAUACCUUUGUCUUUUCACUCUUAUUUUAUUUUAAUAGUUAUUUUACAUGCUGUAAACUAUUUCUUUUAUUUUUCCAGGAAGAAAUAGAAGUUGAGGGGAAGCUAUUGCAUGCUGGAAAAUCAGUUGGUGUUGUCAAUGUUGGUUUCAAGAAAAGGACUGGCAAAUUGAUGCUCAGGCACGUCAUACAAAGUACUUGUAUCUAGCAGAUUGCGAGGAUUCCCUUCUGUUGUAAAAUAAAAACCUGGUUAUAUGUUGCAUCUCAAAAUCAAGAUGUUGAUUCAAGAAGAGAAAGGAGCUGUCGGCGUGCCAUGGUUCAUGCUUUAUACAUCAUGUAUAUAUGCCAGCCAGGGAGGUGGAUGGGCUUGUCUCCGCUGCGUCGUGAGCACCGUCGCCGCCUCUGCGGCCACCUUGCUCCGCAUAGUAGCAUGUGUGAGGAAUCGGGGACAAGCGACCACGAGAAGAUGGCGUCGGCGGCAACGGCAAUGCGCAUGUUGCGCGAAGCCUGGUAAGAUGGGCGCGGCCUCUCCGCAGGCAUUUCAGGAUGGCGUGCCCGACGGCUUGGAACGCGCGCGCCCGGCGCACAGGAGGUGUCUUGGAGCACGCCGGCGGCAACAUGCACCAUGAGGUCCCGGAGCAGCCCAACCAGUACAGGAGGAACCCUGCCAUUCCAUCCUCACCUCUGGUCACAGAUUUUGCCUAUUCUCUGAGAUGGAUGAUGAUGAGCGGUGCAACCGAAAAUUCAGAGCUGGGCUUUACACACUUCAGUGGGAGUAGCAUGACAACACCAAGGUAGAGACCUGAAGAGAAGCAAGGGGAUGGACCAAGGAAACUAGAACUGUGUUGUCGUGAUCUGGGUCGUGUCGUCUUCGUCCAUCUCCAUGGAGGCAUAUAUACAUAGGUUAGGUAUAGGAAAGGAGGCCGUCUCCAUGGAACUCUGACUGAUGUGUAAUGUCCUCAUAGGACUGGACCGUUUACAGAGGGAGUACUUGAAAAUAGAUUCUUUAUAUAUUGUUUGGUUCCAUCACCCGCAUAACCUAAAUUAGAAAUUUGGUAUCUAAAGAGUGUAGUGUAACCAUUGUGCUUGCUGCAGUUUUACUUUAGUGUUGAAAUAUUUUUGUUGGCUUGUUCUGUACUACGAAAUAUUUUUGUUUUCCCAGCCAUUGUUUUCUAAAUCCUAUCAGCAUAUUACCUGA